This 310-nucleotide unclassified non-coding RNA is filed under the name plant metagenome. Its description in RNAcentral is "partial contains 5.8S ribosomal RNA, internal transcribed spacer 2, and large subunit ribosomal RNA". The stretch from base 1 to 105 matches the Rfam family "5.8S ribosomal RNA", at positions 50 to 154 of the family's 154-position model. The record is from RNAcentral.
GAAAUGCGAUAAGUAGUGUGAAUUGCAGAAUUCAGUGAAUCAUCGAAUCUUUGAACGCACAUUGCGCCCCUUGGUAUUCCAUGGGGCAUGCCUGUUCGAGCUUCAUUUGUACCCUCAAGCUCUGCUUGGUGUUGGGUGUUUGUCCCCGUCUCCGCGCGUGGACUCGCCCCAAAGUGAUUGGCAGCCGGCGUACUGGUCCCGGAGCGCAGCACAUGUCGCGCAAACGAGUGCCUUGGUACGGCGGCGUCCAUAAGCCCCUCUCUCACGCUCUUGACCUCGGAUCAGGUAGGGAUACCCGCUGAACUUAAGC